UGCGUAGGGUGCGAGCGUUAAUCGGAAUUACUGGGCGUAAAGGGUGCGCAGGCGGUCUCGUAAGCUGGGUGUGAAAGCCCCGGGCUUAACCUGGGAAUGGCAUUCAGGACUGCGAGGCUUUGAGUGCGGCAGAGGGAGGUGGAAUUCCACGUGUAGCAGUGAAAUGCGUAGAGAUGUGGAGGAACACCGAUGGCGAAGGCAGCCUCCUGGGUCAGCACUGACGCUGAUGCGCGAAAGCGUGGGGAGCAAACAGG
RNAcentral lists this ribosomal RNA (254 nucleotides) under uncultured bacterium. RNAcentral's name for it is "partial 16S ribosomal RNA". It matches the Rfam family "Bacterial small subunit ribosomal RNA", at positions 524 to 776 of the family's 1533-position model. The record is from RNAcentral.